AGGAGUGGAGCCUGCGGCUUAAUUUGACUCAACACGGGACAACUUACCAGGUCCGGACACCGGAAGGAUUGACAGAUUGAGAGCUCUUUCUUGAUUCGGUGGGUGGUGGUGCAUGGCCGUUCUUAGUUGGUGGAGUGAUUUGUCUGGUUAAUUCCGAUAACGAACGAGACUCUAGCCUGCUAACUAGGCGUAACUUACCGGUAUCCUGAAGGCUUGUGUCUCUCGUGACCUGGCGUACUUUGGCUGUACUGUUAUAUUGCUUAGGUGAUGUGCAAUACACUGGGUACGUUCAGUGCGGGAGUUCACAGUUUUUACUACCGGCGUACAUAUAAAUCUUCUUAGAGGGACAGGCGGCUCCUAGCCGCACGAGAUUGAGCAAUAACAGGUCUGUGAUGCCCUUAGAUGUUCUGGGCCG
RNAcentral lists this ribosomal RNA (415 nucleotides) under Sinechostictus elongatus. RNAcentral describes it as "SSU rRNA". It matches the Rfam family "Eukaryotic small subunit ribosomal RNA", at positions 1172 to 1489 of the family's 1831-position model. The record is from RNAcentral. Lineage: Eukaryota; Metazoa; Arthropoda; Insecta; Coleoptera; Carabidae.